Molecule: ribosomal RNA, 958 nt
Filed under: uncultured Bacteroidota bacterium
Lineage: Bacteria; Pseudomonadati; Bacteroidota
Description: bacterial SSU rRNA
Rfam family: Bacterial small subunit ribosomal RNA
Source: RNAcentral
AGAGUUUGAUCCUGGCUCAGAUUGAACGCUGAGGCUUAACACAUGCAAGUCGUGGGGCAGCAUGAAGUAGCAAUACUUUGAUGGCGACCGGCAAACGGGUGCGGAACACGUACACAACCUUCCUUUUAGUGGGGAAUAGCCCAGAGAAAUUUGGAUUAAUACCCCGUAACAUAGCGAUGUGGCAUCACAUUGCUAUUAUAGCUUCGGCGCUAGAUGAUGGGUGUGCGUAUGAUUAGAUAGUUGGCGAGGUAACGGCUCACCAAGUCUACGAUCAUUAGCUGAUGUGAGAGCAUGAUCAGCCACACGGGCACUGAGACACGGGCCCGACUCCUACGGGAGGCAGCAGUAAGGAAUAUUGGUCAAUGGACGAAAGUCUGAACUAGCCAUGCCGCGUGAAGGAUUAAGGUCCUCUGGAUUGUAAACUUCUUUUAUAUGGGACGAAAAAAGGUCUUUCUAGAUCACUUGACGGUACCAUAUGAAUAAGCACCGGCUAACUCCGUGCCAGCAGCCGCGGUAAUACGGAGGGUGCAAGCGUUAUCCGGAUUCACUGGGUUUAAAGGGUGCGUAGGCGGGCAGGUAAGUCAGUGGUGAAAUCCUGGAGCUCAACUCCAGAACUGCCAUUGAUACUAUCUGUCUUGAAUAUUGUGGAGGUAAGCGGAAUAUGUCAUGUAGCGGUGAAAUGCUUAGAUAUGACAUAGAACACCCAUUGCGAAGGCAGCUUACUACGCAUAUAUUGACGCUGAGGCACGAAAGCGUGGGGAUCAAACAGGAUUAGAUACCCUGGUAGUCCACGCCCUAAACGAUGGAUACUCGACAUACGCGAUACACUGUGUGUGUCUGAGCGAAAGCAUUAAGUAUCCCACCUGGGAAGUACGUUCGCAAGAAUGAAACUCAAAGGAAUUGACGGGGGUCCGCACAAGCGGUGGAGUAUGUGGUUUAAUUCGAUGAUACGCGAGGA